UACGGAGGGGGCUAGCGUUGUUCGGAAUUACUGGGCGUAAAGCGCACGUAGGCGGACUGUUAAGUCGGGGGUGAAAUCCUGGGGCUCAACCUCAGAAUUGCCUCCGAUACUGGCAGUCUCGAGUGCGGGAGAGGUGAGUGGAAUUCCCAGUGUAGAGGUGAAAUUCGUAGAUAUUGGGAAGAACACCAGUGGCGAAGGCGGCUCACUGGCCCGUAACUGACGCUGAGACGCGAAAGCGUGGGGAGCAAACAGG
This 253-nucleotide ribosomal RNA is filed under the name uncultured bacterium. Its description in RNAcentral is "partial 16S ribosomal RNA". It matches the Rfam family "Bacterial small subunit ribosomal RNA", at positions 524 to 776 of the family's 1533-position model. The record is from RNAcentral.